AACGAACGCUGGCGGCAGGCCUAACACAUGCAAGUCGAACGCCCUAGCAAUAGGGAGUGGCAGACGGGUGAGUAACGCGUGGGAACGUACCCUUCGGUUCGGAAUAACCCAGGGAAACUUGGACUAAUACCGGAUACGUGCGAGAGCAGAAAGAUUUAUCGCCGAAGGAUCGGCCCGCGUCCGAUUAGCUAGUUGGUGAGGUAAUGGCUCACCAAGGCGACGAUCGGUAGCUGGCUGAGAGGAUGAUCAGCCACACUGGGACUGAGACACGGCCCAGACUCCUACGGGAGGCAGCAGUGGGGAAUAUUGGACAAUGGGCGCAAGCCUGAUCCAGCCAUGCCGCGUGAGUGAUGAAGGCCCUAGGGUUGUAAAGCUCUUUCGCCAGGGACGAUAAUGACGGUACCUGGAUAAGAA
RNAcentral lists this ribosomal RNA (414 nucleotides) under uncultured bacterium. RNAcentral's name for it is "bacterial SSU rRNA". It matches the Rfam family "Bacterial small subunit ribosomal RNA", at positions 29 to 489 of the family's 1533-position model. The record is from RNAcentral.